This 3137-nucleotide unclassified non-coding RNA is filed under the name Orbicella faveolata. Its description in RNAcentral is "peripheral-type benzodiazepine receptor-associated protein 1-like, transcript variant X3". Lineage: Eukaryota; Metazoa; Cnidaria; Anthozoa; Scleractinia; Merulinidae. The record is from RNAcentral.
ACAGAGACAAAGAAUGGAAGCGGCCUACAUGAAUCUACAGAACCAACUAAAGAACCUGCAAGGCGCCGAGCUUAAACUGGCCGAGUUACAAACCAAAUACAGUGGAAUGGAAAAACAAAACUUUGAGCUGAGUGAAAAGGUGAAGAAGUUGGAAAGAACAGAGAGGGAAUUUCAGAAGCUAGAACACAACAUUCAACUAUUACAGGCUCAAGUGCAAGAAAUGGACAUUGUAGAGCAAGAUCGAAACACCUUGAUGGAAAAAAUGAAGACCGUAGAAAACCAAAGAGAUGAUUUGUUGAGGAAAGGCCGGGUGGUGGAAUCCGAGAGGAACGACUUCCUACGGAGCAACAAAUUGAUGGAGAUGCAAAGAGAUGACUUGGAAAACAGAUGCGCUAUCUUACAAAAGACAAAUACCACCUUGAAUUCCAGGUUGGCUGAACUAGAACAGGACUUGAAAGUUGCUCAGACAAAGAUGCACGACAGCCAACAUGAACGAAACUUCCUUCAAGUGCAACUCGACAAGAUGGAAGCAGAGAGGAAUGAGAUGCAGAAGCGACUUGCUAUAACAACACAAGAACGAAACUCACUAGAGAACCAAGUGGCCGAAUUACAGGAGCUUAAUAGGGAUCACGUUAAACUUGAAGAUGGAUUCCAUUCUUUAAGAAUUAAGCUUGCGGAAUCCACGCGACAAAAAGAUGAUGCAGAGAUGCAAAUACCAACUCUAAAGGCCAAGAUAUCGUUGCUCAAAAGAGCGUGCAAAGAGAAGGGCGAACUAGUGGAUAAACUGAGCGAGGAAAUCCGAGAAUUACGUCAUUCCAUCGCAACAUCGGCUCUCGACGAUAUGUCUAAGAUCCGAAGCUACGGAUACUCGCCGGAGAACUUCGUAAAAUUGUCGGCUCAGAGAGAGCAAGAGCGAAAGAUAGCAAAACGAGAACCCGAGGACUUGGUGGAAGAAAGAUUACAAAGCAGGCUAGAAAAACAAUCUCCAAGUCGUUCACCCAAAACGUUUGAACCUUCACCUCCUGGGACGAAAAAGGCCAAGCGCUUUGUGGCGUUGUUUGAUUACGACCCUUACAAGUCGCCUGCCUGUGAGCACCCCGAACUAGAGCUCAAACUCAAGGAAGGUGACUUCCUUACAGUGUUCGGCGACAUGGACAUCAAUGGUUACUUUGAAGCGGACGCGAAUGGCGCACGAGGCCUGGUACCUAGUCUGUAUGUGGAGGAGGUAGAGGACGAUAAUGACUCGGAGCUUGCUCUCGAGGAGCAUUUAUCAAGGUCACGCAGAGACCCAUUGAAAGAUGUUCUUACUGUUUCGGACCCACUGAAAGAUGUUCCUUCGCACAUGGACAAUGAGCUUCAGUUGUACAGAGAUGACAAGUCUAGUGGCCAUUGUACGCCGUCAUCAGGCGCCUCUUCUGCAGGGUCUGAAGCACGUCAGUGCAUGGUGGCCCUACACGAUUACGAUCCUUUCCAUUCUGGGGCUUUUGGACGACCACCUCAAGAUCAGCUGUCACUCAAGAAAGGUGACAUUAUGACAGCCUAUGGAGACAUGGAUGUGAAUGGGUUUUAUCGCGUUGAUAUGAAUGGUCAAACAGGUUUUGUUCCUGGCCACUUGGUGGAGGAAGUUUCGUCAUCGUCCUUCCUGCAACCUACCAGCAGCCGAGCUCCAGAACAGAUUUUAGGAAUGCUGGACAACAUUCAAGCACGUGGACAACUGAGAGGUGAGAUGCUAGUGCCAGGUUUAUUUGCAGCAGCUUCGUCAACUCAUAUGUUCACUCCACCUGGUGUUAUUACUAAUGGCUACCCGACGCCGACUCAUGCGCUAGAAAAUGUUACCCCACCAAGUCACGUGCGCUUUCCCGGCCACCCCAGCUCGCCAGCAAGUCACAUUCAUCUUCCUGGCCAUCCCGGCGCACCAACAAAUCACGUGCGCCUUCCCAGAGACCUUAAUACACCAUCAAGUCACGUGCGCCUUCCCGGCGAUGUUAGAACGCCGUCAGGUCCCGUGCGUCCUACGGGCGGUCUAAACAGCUCUCUGCCUGAUGUGGGAUUAACAAGAUUCAAACCAUCACCGGAAGUGGCGAUGUUGGGUCCUUUAAAUAAUACACCGGUGAUACCGGUAAACUCGUCCCAGUCUGCGCCCUUGGAUUCACACAAACCAGUGAAGGCAUCUUUACGGCCCUCGGGUUCGAAACAGAUCGUUCCUGUUGUUUCAAACAAAUCACGUUCCAGGAAAGCUCGUCCCAGUGCCCCAAGUGGCUUUCGAAUUAUUCGGCCUGUAAACCACGAUGCCAUGUUGGUGGGUUGGACACUACCUGAAAUGGACGAGUUUGGAAGAAGCAACGGUCUUACUGUGAAAGGAUACAAGAUCUAUGCAAAUAAUGAUGUGAAACUGGAAGUUCGUAGCCCUUACAUGGCCAAGGCUUUGGUCGAAGAUCUUGAACUCCGUUUCCCUAUCAAAUUCAGUAUAAAGACUGUGGCUGAAGAUGGCGCCUCGUCUGAGACCGUGUCAGCUACGUUUAAUGACACAAUCAAAGGAACUUUAAUGGAUUCAUUUGGAGAAUCUUUCGAGGAUUCGGGAGAUGAGCAACGUUACAGAACGUUUGUGGCCCUUUACGACUACGAUCCGUUCAAAAGUUCACCAAAUCCCAAUCCAGCCAGCGAACUCGGCUUCAAAGAAGGAGACAUUCUAAGAAUUUCCGAUACUUCAAGAAAGGACGGGUUCUACGUCGGAAAGCUUAAGAACAAGAAAGGACUCAUUCCAUCCAACUUUGUAGAAGAAGUAGCUGUGGCUUCGCCGCGUAGAUUGGCUGCUGCUAAGAAGAGACAAGCAGCCCUUCCUAGUCCCACGCGGCCCUUCUCAGCGGGCAGUAGUAGUUCCAAUGGCGGCGGUGCUUUACCAGCACUCGCAACUACGAAUCCAACACAACUGAAAAAAAAAGAUGAUGGUUGCGCUGUACGAUUACAAUCCAGAGGUGCAAUCUCCGCAAGAUAACCCAGAUUCCGAGCUUCCAUUCAAGAAAGGACAAAUCCUUACUGUUGUUGGGGAAAUGCGUGCAGAUGGUUUCUAUCAUGCGGACGUGAAUGGUCAGUUGGGACUUGUUCCAGGAAGCUUUCUUGACGAAUAUGCAAACGGG